Molecule: ribosomal RNA, 167 nt
Filed under: uncultured bacterium
Lineage: Bacteria
Description: partial 16S ribosomal RNA
Rfam family: Bacterial small subunit ribosomal RNA
Source: RNAcentral
GCUAGUAAUCGCAGAUCAGAAUGCUGCGGUGAAUACGUUCCCGGGUCUUGUACACACCGCCCGUCACACCAUGGGAGCCGGGAAUGCCCGAAGUCGGUGACCCAACCGUAAGGAGGGAGCCGCCGAAGGCAGGCCUGGUAACUGGGGUGAAGUCGUAACAAGGUAGC